This 546-nucleotide ribosomal RNA is filed under the name Exiguobacterium sp. RNAcentral's name for it is "bacterial SSU rRNA". It matches the Rfam family "Bacterial small subunit ribosomal RNA", at positions 1 to 522 of the family's 1533-position model. Lineage: Bacteria; Bacillati; Bacillota; Bacilli; Caryophanales. The record is from RNAcentral.
UGGAGAGUUUGAUCCUGGCUCAGGACGAACGCUGGCGGCGUGCCUAAUACAUGCAAGUCGAGCGCAGGAAACUGACGGAACUCUUCGGAGGGAAGGCAGCGGAAUGAGCGGCGGACGGGUGAGUAACACGUAAGGAACCUGCCUCAAGGAUUGGGAUAACUCCGAGAAAUCGGAGCUAAUACCGGAUAGUUCAUCGGACCGCAUGGUCCGUUGAUGAAAGGCGCUNCGGCGUCACCUUGAGAUGGCCUUGCGGUGCAUUAGCUAGUUGGUGGGGUAACGGCCCACCAAGGCGACGAUGCAUAGCCGACCUGAGAGGGUGAUCGGCCACACUGGGACUGAGACACGGCCCAGACUCCUACGGGAGGCAGCAGUAGGGAAUCUUCCACAAUGGACGAAAGUCUGAUGGAGCAACGCCGCGUGAGUGAUGAAGGUUUUCGGAUCGUAAAACUCUGUUGUAAGGGAAGAACACGUACGAGAGGGAAUGCUCGUACCUUGACGGUACCUUACGAGAAAGCCACGGCUAACUACGUGCCAGCAGCCGCGGUA